RNAcentral lists this ribosomal RNA (818 nucleotides) under fungal endophyte. RNAcentral's name for it is "SSU rRNA". It matches the Rfam family "Eukaryotic small subunit ribosomal RNA", at positions 146 to 974 of the family's 1831-position model. The record is from RNAcentral. Lineage: Eukaryota; Fungi.
ACCGUGGUAAUUCUAGAGCUAAUACAUGCUGAAAACCCCAACUUCGGAAGGGGUGUAUUUAUUAGAUAAAAAACCAAUGCCCUUCGGGGCUCCUUGGUGAUUCAUAAUAACUUCUCAGAUCGCAUGGCCUUGCGCCGGCGACGGUUCAUUCAAAUUUCUGCCCUAUCAACUUUCGAUGGUAAGGUAUUGGCUUACCAUGGUUUCAACGGGUAACGGGGAAUUAGGGUUCGAUUCCGGAGAGGGAGCCUGAGAAACGGCUACCACAUCCAAGGAAGGCAGCAGGCGCGCAAAUUACCCAAUCCCGACACGGGGAGGUAGUGACAAUAAAUACUGAUACAGGGCUCUUUUGGGUCUUGUAAUUGGAAUGAGUACAAUUUAAACCUCUUAACGAGGAACAAUUGGAGGGCAAGUCUGGUGCCAGCAGCCGCGGUAAUUCCAGCUCCAAUAGCGUAUAUUAAAGUUGUUGCAGUUAAAAAGCUCGUAGUUGAACCUUUGGCCUGGCUGGCAGGUCCGCCUCACCGCGUGCACUUGUCCGGCCGGGCCUUCUUUUCUGGAGAACCGCAUGCCCUUCACUGGGUGUGUUGGGGACCAGGACUUUUACUUUGAAAAAAUUAGAGUGUUCAAAGCAGGCCUUUGCUCGAAUACGUUAGCAUGGAAUAAUAGAAUAGGACGUGCGGUCCUAUUUUGUUGGUUUCUAGGACCGCCGUAAUGAUUAAUAGGGACAGUCGGGGGCAUCAGUAUUCAAUUGUCAGAGGUGAAAUUCUUGGAUUUAUUGAAGACUAACUACUGCGAAAGCAUUUGCCAAGGAUGUUUUCAUU